GACGAACGCUGGCGGCGUGCCUAAUACAUGCAAGUUGAGCGAUGAAGAUUGGUGCUUGCACCAAUUUGAAGAGCAGCGAACGGGUGAGUAACGCGUGGGGAAUCUGCCUUUGAGCGGGGGACAACAUUUGGAAACGAAUGCUAAUACCGCAUAAUAACUUUAAACAUAAGUUUUAAGUUUGAAAGAUGCAAUUGCAUCACUCAAAGAUGAUCCCGCGUUGUAUUAGCUAGUUGGUGAGGUAAAGGCUCACCAAGGCGAUGAUACAUAGCCGACCUGAGAGGGUGAUCGGCCACAUUGGGACUGAGACACGGCCCAAACUCCUACGGGAGGCAGCAGUAGGGAAUCUUCGGCAAUGGACGAAAGUCUGACCGAGCAACGCCGCGUGAGGGAAGAAGGGUUUCGGAUCGUAAAACUCUGUUGGUAGAGAAGAACGUUGGUGAGAGUGGAAAGCUCAUCAAGUGACGGUAACUACCCAGAAAGGGACGGCUAACUACGUG
This 497-nucleotide ribosomal RNA is filed under the name uncultured bacterium. RNAcentral's name for it is "partial 16S ribosomal RNA". It matches the Rfam family "Bacterial small subunit ribosomal RNA", at positions 28 to 507 of the family's 1533-position model. The record is from RNAcentral.